ACGUUGCCGCCUCCAUGAAACUGAUGGCUGGUGACUUUUCAGUCACCAGCCU
This 52-nucleotide small RNA is filed under the name secondary endosymbiont of Heteropsylla cubana. RNAcentral describes it as "Pseudomonas sRNA P26". It matches the Rfam family "Pseudomonas sRNA P26". From Rfam's summary of the family: P26 is conserved across many Gammaproteobacteria species and appears to be consistently located between the DNA directed RNA polymerase (beta subunit) and 50S ribosomal protein L7/L12 genes. Lineage: Bacteria; Pseudomonadati; Pseudomonadota; Gammaproteobacteria; Enterobacterales; Enterobacteriaceae. The record is from Rfam by way of RNAcentral.